RNAcentral lists this ribosomal RNA (400 nucleotides) under Escherichia coli. RNAcentral's name for it is "bacterial SSU rRNA". It matches the Rfam family "Bacterial small subunit ribosomal RNA", at positions 1 to 397 of the family's 1533-position model. Lineage: Bacteria; Pseudomonadati; Pseudomonadota; Gammaproteobacteria; Enterobacterales; Enterobacteriaceae. The record is from RNAcentral.
AAAUUGAAGAGUUUGAUCAUGGCUCAGAUUGAACGCUGGCGGCAGGCCUAACACAUGCAAGUCGAACGGUAACAGAAAGAAGCUUGCUUCUUUGCUGACGAGUGGCGGACGGGUGAGUAAUGUCUGGGAAACUGCCUGAUGGAGGGGGAUAACUACUGGAAACGGUAGCUAAUACCGCAUAACGUCGCAAGACCAAAGGGGGGGACCUUCGGGCCUCUUGCCAUCGGAUGUGCCCAGAUGGGAUUAGCUUGUUGGUGGGGUAACGGCUCACCAAGGCGACGAUCCCUAGCUGGUCUGAGAGGAUGACCAGCCACACUGGAACUGAGACACGGUCCAGACUCCUACGGGAGGCAGCAGUGGGGAAUAUUGCACAAUGGGCGCAAGCCUGAUGCAGCCAUGC